RNAcentral lists this ribosomal RNA (1602 nucleotides) under Mannheimia haemolytica. RNAcentral describes it as "partial 23S ribosomal RNA". It matches the Rfam family "Bacterial large subunit ribosomal RNA", at positions 84 to 1728 of the family's 2925-position model. The record is from RNAcentral. Lineage: Bacteria; Pseudomonadati; Pseudomonadota; Gammaproteobacteria; Pasteurellales; Pasteurellaceae.
AGUCGAUAAGAGGCGUUUAAUCCAAGAUGUCCGAAUGGGGAAACCCAGUAGGUGAAGAACCUACUAUCACCCAGUGAAUACAUAGCUGUGUGAGGCAAACCGGGAGAACUGAAACAUCUAAGUACCCCGAGGAAAAGAAAUCAACCGAGAUUUCGUUAGUAGCGGCGAGCGAACGCGAAAGAGCCAGUUAGUGAUAGCAGUAAAGUUAGGGGAAUGUUCUGGGAAGGACAAUCGUAGAGGGUGAUAAUCCCGUACCUUAAAACUCCAUUGUGGUACUAGGCUAACAACAAGUAGGGCGGGACACGUGAUAUCCUGUUUGAAGAUGGGGGGACCAUCCUCCAAGGCUAAAUACUCCUGAUUGACCGAUAGUGAACCAGUACUGUGAAGGAAAGGUGAAAAGAACCCCGGCGAGGGGAGUGAAAUAGAACCUGAAACCUUGUGCGUACAAGCAGUGGGAGCAAGAGUAAUCUUGUGACUGCGUACCUUUUGUAUAAUGGGUCAGCGACUUAUAUUUUGUAGCAAGGUUAACUGAAUAAGGGAGCCGUAGGGAAACCGAGUCUUAACUGGGCGUGUAGUUGCAAGGUAUAGACCCGAAACCCGGUGAUCUAGCCAUGGGCAGGUUGAAGGUUGGGUAACACUAACUGGAGGACCGAACCGACUAAUGUUGAAAAAUUAGCGGAUGACUUGUGGCUGGGGGUGAAAGGCCAAUCAAACCGGGAGAUAGCUGGUUCUCCCCGAAAUCUAUUUAGGUAGAGCCUUGAGCGGACACCUUCGGGGGUAGAGCACUGUUUCGGCUAGGGGUCCAUCCCGGAUUACCAACCCGAUGCAAACUGCGAAUACCGAAGAGUGAUACUCAGGAGACACACGGUGGGUGCUAACGUCCAUCGUGGAGAGGGAAACAACCCAGACCGCCAGCUAAGGUCCCAAAGUCUAUAUUAAGUGGGAAACGAAGUGGGAAGGCUUAGACAGCUAGGAUGUUGGCUUAGAAGCAGCCACCAUUUAAAGAAAGCGUAAUAGCUCACUAGUCGAGUCGGCCUGCGCGGAAGAUGUAACGGGGCUCAAAUAUAGCACCGAAGCUGCGGCAUCAGACGAAAGUCUGUUGGGUAGGGGAGCGUUGUGUAAGUCGAUGAAGGUGGAUUGAGAAGUCUGCUGGAGAUAUCACAAGUGCGAAUGCUGACAUAAGUAACGAUAAAACGAGUGAAAAACUCGUUCGCCGGAAGACCAAGGGUUCCUGUCCAACGUUAAUCGGGGCAGGGUGAGUCGGCCCCUAAGGCGAGGCUGAAAAGCGUAGUCGAUGGGAAACGGGUUAAUAUUCCCGUACUUGUAAUAACUGCGAUGUGGGGACGGAGAAGGUUAGGUUAGCAGACUGUUGGAUGUCUGUUUAAGCCGGUAGGUGGGAAGAUUAGGCAAAUCCGGUCUUCCUUAACACCGAGAAGUGAUGACGAGUCUCUACGGAGAUGAAGUAAUCGAUACCACGCUUCCAGGAAAAGCCACUAAGCUUCAGGUUAUUAUAAACCGUACUAUAAACCGACACAGGUGGUCAGGUAGAGAAUACUCAGGCGCUUGAGAGAACUCGGGUGAAGGAACUAGGCAAAAUAGCAC